UACGGAGGGUGCUAGCGUUGUUCGGAAUCACUGGGCGUAAAGGGCGUGUAGGCGGUCUGUUAAGUCUGAUGUGAAAAUCCCCUCGCUCAACGAGGGAACUGCGUCGGAUACUGGCAGACUCGAGUACCGGAGAGGAAGGUGGAAUUCCCGGUGUAGCGGUGAAAAUGCGUAGAUAUCGGGAGGAACACCGGUGGCGAAGGCGGCCUCUGGACGGAUACUGGACGCUGAGACGCGAAAGCGUGGGGAGCAAACAGG
RNAcentral lists this ribosomal RNA (255 nucleotides) under uncultured bacterium. Its description in RNAcentral is "partial 16S ribosomal RNA". It matches the Rfam family "Bacterial small subunit ribosomal RNA", at positions 524 to 776 of the family's 1533-position model. The record is from RNAcentral.